CAACAACACUAUGGUUUUGCAGAAGAAACACUAUGUAAAAGAUACAAAUAGCUAUGUGGCUCUAACAAUAAGCUCAACAGAAAUGGGCAUGGUUUUGCUAUUGUUCAUUGGAGAAUGCUGAUUUACAAUGAAUUAGUUGAUUACAAGUUGUCCACCAAGUUAAGCAGCAUUAACU
This is a long non-coding RNA of Rhodamnia argentea, 175 nucleotides long. RefSeq lists it as uncharacterized. The transcript is spliced from 3 exons. NCBI's taxonomy places the organism in Eukaryota, Viridiplantae, Streptophyta, Magnoliopsida, Myrtales, Myrtaceae. The record is from RefSeq and is a predicted model, not a curated record.